Molecule: long non-coding RNA, 2031 nt
Filed under: Mus musculus (house mouse)
Lineage: Eukaryota; Metazoa; Chordata; Mammalia; Rodentia; Muridae
Description: long non-coding RNA chr16:11081167-11083198
Source: RNAcentral
GGUUUUGGCCACCAUUCUUCAUAGUUGAAUGCGUUUUCCCUCCAAUUGUGUACUUCAAUAAAGAGUUCACUGUGAAGUGAGAUCCUUUCAAAUCCACAGGAACUGCACCGAGCUACCAGGGUUCCUUCUUGGAAUCCUCUCAGUGUGGCUUAUGAGCUGACACAGCCUACCCUACCCUUCUCCAUUAAUUCAGGGAAAUACUGAUUUAGGAAUGGACAGAAAUGUCCACUAUGCCAGCAUCACUGAUACAUGCCUUAUCUGUUGCUGUAAGGAUUUUCCCAAGUCCCCAAAGAAAAAUUAACUGAAUCAGAAAUGUAUAACUUUUUUGUGACUUCUUGCAAAUGUUGCCAAUGUAAAUGUUGUCGGACUAUGCCACCUUUAUCAAUACUAGAUCCUGUCACUUGAAAGCAUUUAUUAAUUUAGUAAGCAUAAAUGACACCUUAUUUACAUUUCUUAGGUGACUGGUUCCCCUGUUGUUUGCUUACUCUGUCAUUGGCCUGUGCUCUUUGUUCACAUUUGAUUACCUGGCUUUGUUAGUUUGCUUAGUUUUUUUGAGACAGCUGCUCUCUGUAGCCCUGGCUGUCCUGGAACUAGCUCUGUAGACCAGGCUAGCAUUGUAUUCAGAGAUUUGCCUGCCUCUGACUCCCUAGUGCAGUACCAGGAUUAAAGGUGAGCUUAGGAAUAAGGCAGGCACUGUGCAUGCCAGACAGCACUGCACCCCACACUAAAGCUCCGGCCCACUUGAAAUGUGGUGGAGCUAUAGUGUCAACUCGAGUCUGAAUGCCGGCCCCUAAUUUACAUGCUGCACAGUUCUGGACAAGUUGCCUAAUAUUUCUGUGCCUUAAAUCAAAAGAAAGUGAUGGAGUCAGCAGUUUCACCCGCCUAGUGUUCUGAGGCAUAAGUAUAUAUGCAUAUAACAAUCUCUUUGCACAGUCACUUCUGAGAGUAAAUAGCAGGCAGCAAGUAAAAUAUAAAUAUACAUGUGCUUAUUUAAAUUAUGGCUAGGAAUAUAGCUAAGUGGCAGAACAUUUGCUUUGCAUGCAUGAGGUCCUAGGUGUAAUCCUGUCACUAACAAAGAAAGAAAGAACACCAUUCACAUCGAGUAUGUUGUUUUCACUGCAUAUCCUUCUAGCGGAUAUGAAUUACCUUUCAUUAUCUUUCACUGGAAAGAUUUUAUCUCUAUCUUCUGCUUUUUCCCCAUGAUCUGGUCUAAACUGCUCACUUCAUGAUCUGGAUUUGAGGUCUUGUUAAAGUGCUUAUUAUAUAUUGCUCUUGGUUGCUGACCAGACUAGAACCUAUUGUAGACACAACACAAUUCAGUUGCAGGACAGAGAAAUUAAGCUGGAAAAGAAGUGGAAGGUCACAGGACCAUAAAAUGCCAUCAGGCAGCUGGGAAAGAAAAGGCAUCAAUGAUCUUACGCAAUGGCAGAGCUUGCCUGCGCCAUGCUGACCUCCAGACAAGAUGUGGCCCACAAGCACAUCAGUGGCAUGACUAUUUCCUGACUAGAUUUGAGGCCUGCUUCAUAACUCAAAAAGACCAUCAAAAUUCAUCAAAAGGCCAUGGCCAUGAAGGUCACAGGCCCUAGAGGGGAACCUGCUAGUGUUAAUUUACUAAAUGUGCAAAUGCUCUGUAAAUAUGUAUGCUUAUACCCACAGGCAAAUGCUGCUCUCAGCCUUCAUCAGAGAGACUUCUUUCUGCAGCCAACGGUGGUAGAUGAAGGAACUCAGGAAGAUGGAAAAGUGUAAGAACUGAUGAUUGGGGGAGGGAUGUGAAAUGCUCUGCUCUAUUCUGAGCAUGACACAGCCACUGCAUUCAUGAACAUAUAACAUUUACUCAGGGAUAUGGGAAGGGCUCAUGGCCUGUCCCUCCUGGGGACUCAUUAGCCCAGGGAAGGGAAGUCCUCAGCUUCAGAAGUGUAGCCACUGGUAUAUCCUCUAUGUUCUAGGGUACAGCUCCACACCCAUGAGCAUGUGGAUGACUCUGGUUAAGCUCGGUUACAAAACAAAAACAGUAGGACAUGACUUACAGGG